This 253-nucleotide ribosomal RNA is filed under the name uncultured bacterium. Its description in RNAcentral is "partial 16S ribosomal RNA". It matches the Rfam family "Bacterial small subunit ribosomal RNA", at positions 524 to 776 of the family's 1533-position model. The record is from RNAcentral.
UACGUAGGGUGCAAGCGUUGUCCGGAAUUAUUGGGCGUAAAGAGCUCGUAGGCGGUUUGUCGCGUCUGCUGUGAAAACUCAGGGCUUAACCCUGAGCCUGCAGUGGGUACGGGCAGACUAGAGUGUGGUAGGGGAGAUCGGAAUUCCUGGUGUAGCGGUGGAAUGCGCAGAUAUCAGGAGGAACACCGGUGGCGAAGGCGGAUCUCUGGGCCAUUACUGACGCUGAGGAGCGAAAGCGUGGGGAGCGAACAGG